RNAcentral lists this unclassified non-coding RNA (348 nucleotides) under soil metagenome. Its description in RNAcentral is "partial contains 5.8S ribosomal RNA, internal transcribed spacer 2, and large subunit ribosomal RNA". The stretch from base 1 to 120 matches the Rfam family "5.8S ribosomal RNA", at positions 35 to 154 of the family's 154-position model. The record is from RNAcentral.
GAUGAAGAACGCAGCGAAAUGCGAUAAGUAAUGUGAAUUGCAGAAUUCAGUGAAUCAUCGAAUCUUUGAACGCACAUUGCGCCCGCCAGUAUUCUGGCGGGCAUGCCUGUCCGAGCGUCAUUUCAACCCUCGAACCCCUCCGGGGGGUCGGCGUUGGGGAUCGGCACUUACCUGCCGGCCCCGAAAUACAGUGGCGGUCUCGCCGCAGCCUCUCCUGCGCAGUAGUUUGCACACUCGCACCGGGAGCGCGGCGCGUCCACGGCCGUAAAACAACCCAAACUUCUGAAAUGUUGACCUCGGAUCAGGUAGGAAUACCCGCUGAACUUAAGCAUAUCAAUAAGCGGAGGA